GAUUAAAACAGGUUUUUGUAGCUGCCUUCCUGUUGUCUGUUACUAAAGCUCUCUGAGAUGUUCCUGAUUGCUUUCUCAGAGCAGUGUCAAAACAGCUGCUUGUCUAUCUUGGGAAACUGGAUUUUGCAAGAGCUGAGAAGACAAACCACUCCCUUUGGGAUGCCCAGGCACAUACCUCCCAUCUUGAAAAUCCAAACAGCCUCUACCAACUUGUGAAACGUGAGACUGCUGCUGCUCAUUCAAUGUUUGGAGCACUUAUCCUGGCUGCGGGAAGUCGUGAUCUGAGUGUCCUUCUAAGCCCCAUGGAGCACAGAUUUACACCUCUUUGUUUCUGGGAGAAGUGUGCAGGUGUCUGUGCUGAAAUGUCAGCCUUUGUGCCCUUCAGAGGACAGUUGCUUAGGUUGAGGGGGGUUUGAGAAUUGAGGGGGAGUAUUCAGUUGUCAUCACAGCAAAGGUUCUGGGUGUGUGUAGGACAGCUCCAGGUACCAAGAAAAAAGGUCUGUUUAAAAACUUUUACCCAUACUUUGACGUGAUCUGGUAUUCACCCCUUUAUUCACGACUUAAAGGCAAGCUAAGGAGCCACCUUUUAAUUCUCUACCUGGUACUGUAUCAAGUGCAAAUCAUUUAACCUCCCCAGGCCGGUGAUAUUGGCUGUUUUAUUGUGCUUGGCUUAAUUCCUGCUUGAUACCAACGUGAGAUGCAAUGCUGUCUGUGUCAAAACAGCACCGUAAAUCAUGCUGAGCUAAAAUGAGACCUGUCUUGUGGCUGCUGAUUGGCUUAAGAUGUGGUAGCACACAAAAUGACUUGGAAGUCCUAUAAAUUCACAACAAACACUGCAGGAUUGUAGAAAAACUUUUUAUUGCGACCAACGCUUAUAUGAAACAGUCCCGUGGGUAGAGCAGUGGGAUUUGGUCUCCUGUUAUGAGAAGCUGCGUGCUGUACGUCACUGGCUAUUGGCGAUCCUCAGAAAAGCAGGCACGAUGGUGAGCCAGCAUUAAAAAAGCUAACACUGAACAUGGCACAAGCUUCAGCAGGCAACUCUAGCCCCCCUCUCUGUGCAGUCCAUAAGGAAAAGAUCGCGUGAUCACAGAGCUUUUUAGCGGCACGGGGUAUUAUCGCUAGUGUCAUUUUUGAUUUAUGAAGCAUGAUGUAUUAACUUGAUUAAGUUUUGAUCGUGAAUUAUUUUCAUCUUUGAGGACUGAAGAUCUAAAGACCUGUUAAAUACAGAAGAGCAGACGGUGCCUCCUCCACGAGGACGGAAGGUGCAAACCACACAGGCAUGACUCACUUGUGAGGACUCCUGACCAAGGCGGCAAUCCAGCAGUUUUGUGGGCGUGUUUGCAACUUGUUUUGGCAUUUUUCACUGCAAUGCCUUUAUCAUCAUCUGCAGGUUCCUCGCCGUUGAUCCAGUUAGACAAGAAAAAAAGCAGGCCGAUGCCAAAGGGUAUUUCCUCAUGAGAAAACUGAGUGAAUCAGAGCGCAGAAGUAAGGCUGGGUAAGACCAUAAUAGUGAGACUGGGGCAAGAUGGCAGCAGAUGAGUGGUUGGAUGCUAACCCGUCAUAUCUUGAGGAUCUCUGGCUCUGUUAAUUUUGCUUACAGUUUAACCCAGACUUCUGAAAACGGAGAAAAGGCAGUAAAUGAGAGGCGAUGGAUGUGAGGGUGGCCCACUGCCUGCUCCUUUGGGCUGUGCACUUCUUCCCGGCUGCACCACGCAUUGCUCCCAGGGUCCUCAGCAAGGAAUCAAAGACUGGUAAUCUGCAAGAUGGGUGUAUAAAUCUGAUUCCCUGUGAAGAUAGUGGAGCUAUCUGUAUUCAGCCUUGUUCUCCCUCCUUCCAUGGAGAGAUGAGUUUUGUCUGCAAAGAUAGAAAGUGGCAAAUGGUCAUAGAUGCCUGUGCAAAUCUGGAUGUCAAAUCACUUUUUCAGAGGAUUUCUGAACGUGAACCUCUUCCAAGUUCUGGAGGACAUAUUAGUGUUGCUGGAGGACACCUGCCCUUUGUAGGAGCAGGAAAGCCAGUGCCCGGGAAGCCAGGAGAUGAAGCAAAACAUUUUGGUGCUCAUGACCAUGGGAAUAGUAACUGCCAAGAUGAUUUUUCAUGCAUCAUCCCAGAUAUCCUGUCUUCACCAGCAAUUCCAGGAAACAUUGCUGAUAUAGUGGAAUUGCUAAAGAAUAUUUCCUUGCUGUUGUCAGAAAAUGUCAACAGAGGAAAAAUGCAGAGUUACAGCAGGAUAGCAAACCAUAUUCUGAACAGCUCCAUCGUUUCCAACUGGGCUUUUGUCAGGGACAGAAAUGCCAGUUCAACAUUACUGGACUCAGUGAACUUAUUUGCUGGGAAACUCCUUCUAAAGAACGGGUCAGAAAGUAUACAGGAACACUUCAUCUCUACUAAAGGCUACAGCAUAUAUAAACAUACUUCGGGGAAGAGCUUUGAUUUCUCUAUGGAGUUGAAUAAGACAAGCAAUGUAAGUGGGCGCGUGGUCAUUCCAGAAGAAGAACUUAGGAAGUUACCUAGGACUUCCAAAGCAAUCAGCAUUGCAUUUCCCACACUUGGAGCCAUUAUAGAAACCAGCCGCUUGGACCCUGUUUUUGUGAACGGAAUGGUUUUAUCUGUGUCUCUUCCGGAAGAGCUUCAGCAUAUUUUGCUUACCUUUGAAAAGGUGAAUAAACUGGAGAAUGUCAAGGCUCAGUGCGUUGGAUGGCACUCUACUGAGCGGAGAUGGGAUAGCAAGGCAUGCAAAAUGAAGUCAGACAACAUCAGCAGUGUUGUCUGUAUGUGCAAGCACCACCGUCGGACGUUCAAAUCCUUCUCCAUUUUGAUGUCCCCCACCAUGCUGCGAAAUGUGGUGUUGGAUUACAUUACAUGUGUGGGGUUAGGCCUUUCUAUUUUCAGCUUGGUUCUGUGCCUUACCAUCGAGACUGUUGUCUGGCAUCACGUUACAAAAACUGAAAUAACCUACAUGCGCCAUUUUUGUUUGGUGAACAUAGCUACGUCGCUUCUCAUUGCGGAUAUUUUAUUCAUCGUAGCAGCUAUUGUGCACAACACAGCCCUAAACUACCGGCUGUGUGUAGCAGCUACUUUUUUCCUUCACUUUUUCUAUCUUGCCUUGUUUUUUUGGAUGUUUACCCUGGGUCUUCUGAUUCUCUAUGGAUUGUUAUUAGUUUUUUUUAAGAUAACAAGAUCUGCGUUCAUAGCUACAGCAUUCUCCAUUGGAUACGGAUGUCCAUUAGUCAUAUCUGUCCUCACUGUUGCUAUUACUGAACCAAAAAAUGGAUAUUUAAGGAGUGGAGCUUGCUGGCUCAAUUGGUAUGAGACAAAAGCCCUUUUGGCCUUUGUCGUACCUGCUCUGGGCAUCAUUGUUGUCAAUUUGGCGGUGGUGGUGGUGGUUGUGGUGAAGAUGGGAAGACCCUCUAUUGGAGAUGGCUGCAAGUCACAAGAUUUGAGCAACAUGAUCCGAAUUAGCAAAAAUGUUGCCCUUUUGACACCUCUUCUGGGCCUCACCUGGGGGUUUGGAUUAGCAACAAUCAUUGAUAGUCGCUCUCUGGCAUUCCAUGUUACAUUUGCACUACUGAACGCCUUCCAGGUAAACCCAGCAAGUUGGGGCAUAGUGCCCUCUCAAACUUCGACCUUGGGAAAAGCUAGCAGAUCAAAGAGAGGCUGGCAGCAUGUGCUGUGCUUGAAAAGCAGGCUUUCCUUGCAUCUUACCUAUUUAACGCAGUAGCUGCACUAGGUAUUCUGUGUUGACAUGGAUGCAGAUGGGCAAUAGAACAAACCAGUUGAUACGAAGUCUAAUGAAGAAUUAAGAGGAAGGAUUUAUAUUAAAAUACAUGGGUUAAUGUCAAGUAACUGCAAAAAUGUCUAAUCCAUAUGACCCAACAAAUACCCAGAAAAUCUUACUUGUCAUUAAGGAUAGUUUCGUUUAACUCACCAGUGUCAAAGUCCAAUGUUACCUGACAUACCAUUGUAUAUCCAUACUGCCUUAGUUCUUCUUGGCUAAUGCUGCUAUUAAGUAUGUUGAAAAAGUUCUGGUAUGUAACCUAUCAGUCCAGUUUGUAAUGAGAAUUAGCAUGAAUUGUAUAUCCAUUCUUGGCAUUCCUGGAUAGUCCAUGUGACCUGGGUGGGUAAACUCAUUUGGGGCAUCGAUGUUAUUGUCAUAGGUGAUGAGAUGUUUUACACUGAUAAAAGCAUUAUUUUACCUAUGCUAGAAAAAGUAUUUAAGAAACUUCAUGUGGUUAUGGUGUUUUGCAACUGUUUUUUUAUCUUCAAUUUUUUUAGGGAUUCUUCAUCCUGUUGUUUGGGACACUUCUGGACAGAAAGACCAGAGAAGCCUUAAAGAAAAACUGCCUUUCAUCAAAGCGGAAGCGUAGUUUAGCAAAGUCCUAGCAGUGGGCAGUUGUCUUCAGUGGAUCUGACCAGUGAGAGGACAAGGAGCAACUCUUGCAGAGAAAUUCUGGUUUGAGAUGAGCCUUAGUGGUGACCAGUUCAGAGUGUGGACAGCACUGUCUUGGAGCAUGACCACAGGAAACAUCGUGAAAACCAGGAGAGAAAAGGUCCUGAACCUGCUGUCAGGAGCAAGAAACCAUCAGCAUUGCUGCAACCCUCAGAGGAAGCACAGUGACAUGUAAAAGUUGUUUCUCACCUUUGUGAAAACUGCUGUGAGGAUGAGUUUGUCCUCAUUUGCCAUUUCAGUGCGUCCUGUUUUUUUUUUUUUUUCUUUUUUUCUUUUUUUCCACAUCACUGCAAUAAGGAGCUGUACAGCAUGUGGGACUGUUCUAACAUUUGUACAUCACAUUAAAAAUGAAAUAACGUUGAGUGUUGUAUAGCUAUUUUUGUCUGUCCUUGACCACAAGUAAUUCUAUUAGGUGGGCACUGUAUUCAUCCGAUGUCUGUACUCUCAGGCUGAGGGAUAGUAUAACUGUUUCUGUGUUACAGCUGUGCUCUCCAUCUCAGUACCUCUAUGUCAGAGGAAAUGUAGAAAACACUUUUUUAGUCUUUCAGGACAGAAUUUUCAUUCUUUUUCCAGUCCUGCAACAAAGGGACAGAUGAAGAAGGAAAAUCCCUCUGCAAAUAGUUAGCUUCCUUCUUUAGAUGUGGGAAAGCAAGCUUUGAAUAUGAUUCAGAGUUGAAUCAGGUAGAUGGAGAUCUCCCAUAUCACGUGGUAUACUAACCAAGGAAACAGUUCUUCCAUAGAUGCUUGUAUAUCUGGUUUUAUUAGAAAGAAAUAAGUCCUUGGAAAGAAACCCUUAGUAAUGAAGACUAUGAUAGAAAUGUUGUUGUCUCUUGUACAGACAAGUUGAUGCUUUCAAAUGGAAAUAAAGCUGAAAUUUUGUCAUUGUUU
Oxyura jamaicensis (ruddy duck) is the source of this 5335-nucleotide RNA transcript. It is a transcript of the gene named adhesion G protein-coupled receptor F4-like, with no coding region annotated. NCBI's taxonomy places the organism in Eukaryota, Metazoa, Chordata, Aves, Anseriformes, Anatidae. The transcript has 8 exons. The record is from RefSeq and is a predicted model, not a curated record.